UACGAAGGGUGCAAGCGUUAAUGGGAAUUACUGGGCGUAAAGCGUGCGUAGACGGCCUUUUAAGUCUGCUGUGAAAGCCCUGGGCUCAACCUGGGAACUGCAGUGGAUACUGUGAGGCUGGAGUGCGGUAGAGGAUGGUGGAAUUCCCGGUGUAGAGGUGAAAUGCGUAGAGAUCGGGAGGAACAUCAGUGGCGAAGGCGGCCAUCUGGACCAGCACUGACGUUGAGGAACGAAAGCGUGGUGAGCAAACAGG
This 253-nucleotide ribosomal RNA is filed under the name uncultured bacterium. RNAcentral describes it as "partial 16S ribosomal RNA". It matches the Rfam family "Bacterial small subunit ribosomal RNA", at positions 524 to 776 of the family's 1533-position model. The record is from RNAcentral.